UGACCAGACUCCUACGGGAGGCAGCAGUCGGGAAUAUUGCACAAUGGAGGAAACUCUGAUGCAGUGACACCGCGUAUAGGAAGAAGGUUUUCGGAUUGUAAACUAUUUUAGACAGGGAAGAAAAAAGACAGUACCUGUAGAAUAAGCUCCGGCUAACUACGUGCCAGCAGCCGCGGUCAUACGUAGGAUCCGAGCAUUAUCCGGAGUGACUGGGUGUAAAGAGUUGCGUAGGUGGCAUAAUAAGUAGCUAGUGAAAUCUGGUGGCUCAACCAUUCAGACUAUUAGCUAAACUGUUAAGCUCGAGACCGUUAGGGGUAACUGGAAUUUCUAGUGUAGGAGUGAAAUCCGUAGAUAUUAGAAGGAACACCAAUAGCGUAGGCAGGUUGCUGGGACGGUUCUGACACUAAGGCACGAAAGCGUAGGGAGCAAACGGGAUUAGAUACCCCAGUA
This 450-nucleotide ribosomal RNA is filed under the name uncultured bacterium. RNAcentral's name for it is "bacterial SSU rRNA". It matches the Rfam family "Bacterial small subunit ribosomal RNA", at positions 328 to 792 of the family's 1533-position model. The record is from RNAcentral.